This 488-nucleotide ribosomal RNA is filed under the name uncultured bacterium. RNAcentral describes it as "bacterial SSU rRNA". It matches the Rfam family "Bacterial small subunit ribosomal RNA", at positions 111 to 597 of the family's 1533-position model. The record is from RNAcentral.
GAACGCGUAUGGAACCUGCCCCUGUCAGGGGAAUAGCCCAGGGAAACUUGGAUUAAUGCCCCAUGGUACCGCGAUAUCGCAUGAUAUUGCGGUUAAAGAUUUAUCGGACAGGGACGGCCAUGCGUACCAUUAGUUAGUUGGUGGGGUAACGGCCCACCAAGGCAGCGAUGGUUAGGGGCCCUGAGAGGGGGAUCCCCCACACUGGUACUGAGACACGGACCAGACUCCUACGGGAGGCAGCAGUGAGGAAUAUUGGACAAUGGGCGGGAGCCUGAUCCAGCCAUGCCGCGUGCAGGAUGACGGCCCUAUGGGUUGUAAACUGCUUUUAUACGGGAAGAAACGCACCUACGUGUAGGUGUCUGACGGUACCGUAAGAAUAAGGACCGGCUAACUCCGUGCCAGCAGCCGCGGUAAUACGGAGGGUCCGAGCGUUAUCCGGAAUCAUUGGGUUUAAAGGGUCCGUAGGCGGGCCUGUAAGUCAGGGGUGA